This 253-nucleotide ribosomal RNA is filed under the name uncultured bacterium. RNAcentral describes it as "partial 16S ribosomal RNA". It matches the Rfam family "Bacterial small subunit ribosomal RNA", at positions 524 to 776 of the family's 1533-position model. The record is from RNAcentral.
UACAUAGGGGGCAAGCGUUGUUCGGAAUUACUGGGCGUAAAGGGCGCGUAGGCGGCCUUCUAAGUCGAACGUGAAAUCCCCGGGCUCAACCCGGGAACUGCGUCCGAUACUGGAAGGCUUGAAUCCGGGAGAGGGAUGUGGAAUUCCAGGUGUAGCGGUGAAAUGCGUAGAUAUCUGGAGGAACACCGGUGGCGAAGGCGACAUCCUGGACCGGUAUUGACGCUGAGGCGCGAAAGCCAGGGGAGCAAACGGG